Molecule: ribosomal RNA, 871 nt
Filed under: Fusarium ramosum
Lineage: Eukaryota; Fungi; Ascomycota; Sordariomycetes; Hypocreales; Nectriaceae
Description: LSU rRNA
Rfam family: Eukaryotic large subunit ribosomal RNA
Source: RNAcentral
UAAGCAUAUCAAUAAGCGGAGGAAAAGAAACCAACAGGGAUUGCCCUAGUAACGGCGAGUGAAGCGGCAACAGCUCAAAUUUGAAAUCUGGCUCUCGGGCCCGAGUUGUAAUUUGUAGAGGAUGCUUUUGGUGCGGUGCCUUCCGAGUUCCCUGGAACGGGACGCCAUAGAGGGUGAGAGCCCCGUCUGGUUGGAUGCCAAUCCUCUGUAAAGCUCCUUCGACGAGUCGAGUAGUUUGGGAAUGCUGCUCUAAAUGGGAGGUAUAUGUCUUCUAAAGCUAAAUACCGGCCAGAGACCGAUAGCGCACAAGUAGAGUGAUCGAAAGAUGAAAAGAACUUUGAAAAGAGAGUUAAAAAGUACGUGAAAUUGUUGAAAGGGAAGCGCUUGUGACCAGACUUGGGCUUGGUUGAUCAUCCAGGGUUCUCCCUGGUGCACUCUUCCGGCUCAGGCCAGCAUCAGUUUGCCUCGGGGGAUAAAGGCUUCGGGAAUGUGGCUCUCUCCGGGGAGUGUUAUAGCCCGCUGCGUAAUACCCUGUGGCGGACUGAGGUUCGCGCAUUCGCAAGGAUGCUGGCGUAAUGGUCAUCAGUGACCCGUCUUGAAACACGGACCAAGGAGUCGUCUUCGUAUGCGAGUGUUCGGGUGUCAAACCCCUACGCGAAAUGAAAGUGAACGCAGGUGAGAGCUUCGGCGCAUCAUCGACCGAUCCUGAUGUUCUCCGGAUGGAUUUGAGUAAGAGCAUACGGAGCCGGACCCGAAAGAAGGUGAACUAUGCCUGUGUAGGGUGAAGCCAGAGGAAACUCUGGUGGAGGCUCGCAGCGGUUCUGACGUGCAAAUCGAUCGUCAAACAUGGGCAUGGGGGCGAAUGACUAAU